Molecule: ribosomal RNA, 305 nt
Filed under: Escherichia coli
Lineage: Bacteria; Pseudomonadati; Pseudomonadota; Gammaproteobacteria; Enterobacterales; Enterobacteriaceae
Description: bacterial SSU rRNA
Rfam family: Bacterial small subunit ribosomal RNA
Source: RNAcentral
GGAAGGGAGUAAAGUUAAUACCUUUGCUCAUUGACGUUACCCGCAGAAGAAGCACCGGCUAACUCCGUGCCAGCAGCCGCGGUAAUACGGAGGGUGCAAGCGUUAAUCGGAAUUACUGGGCGUAAAGCGCACGCAGGCGGUUUGUUAAGUCAGAUGUGAAAUCCCCGGGCUCAACCUGGGAACUGCAUCUGAUACUGGCAAGCUUGAGUCUCGUAGAGGGGGGUAGAAUUCCAGGUGUAGCGGUGAAAUGCGUAGAGAUCUGGAGGAAUACCGGUGGCGAAGGCGGCCCCCUGGACAAAGACUGA